UUUUUUUUUACUUCUUCCCAUUAUAUGUAAUAUUUAUGACUUUUAAAUAUACGCAGUUCCAUUCAGAGAGGAUCAGCCUACAAUUGAAUAAAUGAAGCUAAAAAUGAAACUGACGGAAUUUUUGUUUCUUGUUUCGUUAUUAUUUGGGGAAAGUUCACAUGCUCCUGCAGGUAAGUGUAAUUUAAGGUUAUAAUAGUUGAUAAAUGUUGAAUAAUAAUAUAUAAUUACAUUUCUUCAAAAGAAUAUUAAUAUUUAGAUUUCUAAGUAUGGAUUUAGGUCUUAAUACACGUUACAUUAAUGUGUUAACCUCCUAUUAUUGACAAGGUAUAUAAUAAUGUACAAGAAUAUUUAAAACAGGAAAAAACAUAUACUCAAAUUAACCCGUAAUUUACUGGUUCUGUCAUAAAUGUAAUUAUAAAGACACUUCAGAGCGUCAUACCUACAAACAAAUGGUCCGAGACCACCAUUGUCGUCCCUUGAUUUUCGUUGUUCACAAAUAUAGUCCCUUGUGUUGACAGUGGGUUACUUGCCAUUAAUUUUUAUACUGCUUCCAAAUUUAUUUCUCCAUGUUUAAUGCCUCAAACUGCAAGUAGGGGGUGGGUGUGAAAUUACACUGUUAAAAAAAAUUUGGGUCCAGAAUUUUAAAGGCAAGUAGUGAUUUGGUCCAGCUGCAAAAAGUUUAAAAUUAGCACUUCGGAGGCUGUCAAAAGAUUUCAAGACGCCCUAAACAUAAAAUUGUCCAUAUUUUGAGUUAGAGACGAUGAAGUUUUUUUUUAUAAUUUUUGAUAUAAUUUGUCCCAAAAGUAGUACAACAAAUAAAAGUUUCUUUGAGAAAGCGCAGGUGGAAUUUUUUUAUUUUCAUUUAUGUUCUAAAAGAAAUGCACUACGAAAUAAUUGUAGUCUCGGAGGUGAAAUCUGUAAAUGUAGAAUCUGUACUUUGGCAGCUUCCCUACAUGAUUUGAUGGUAUCAAUGUGUCAAAUAGCAUGAAACUAAAGGAUUGGAACUUUUAUUUUAUAGAAUAUCUGCAAACAUGACCAAUUUUCGCAUUUUAUGGUCAAAAUAGGCAUUUUAUAACUUUUUCAAUAUUGAUGCAUAAAUGGCAUCCUGAGCUUCUAUCUGACAGGUUUUCAUGUGUCAGUAUUUGUGUUUCUAUGCUUUUAUCUACUUCUUUUACUUAUUUUUGAACUCUGAAUCUACAGAAAAGAAGAUUAUCUCAGACAAAAUGUGCAAAAUGUGUUGAGCUUGGUACAUAAAAUGUGAUGGCCAUAAUAAAGACCUCACUAAAUUUGUAUAAAAUGCACUUUACAAUGUCUAUUGUACCUGUUCCAUUUCAUAUAAUAUCUUUCUUUUCUUCUGUUGGAUAGCAAGUGGUUUAAAUAUAAGCCUGUUGAGAAUGAAUUGCAUGCAAGUUUUUCCCUAAAAAGGAAAAAAUCUUUGUAUCAGACCAUACUGUUUGUAAGAAAAGUCUUUUUGUGCUCAGAUUUGUUGUAUCAUGUCACAUGAGUAUAGAAAUGAUAAAAAAGACACAAUUUUUUUAAUUUCUUAUAGCCUUAAUAUGCAUUUUUUAAUGUAAAUAUGUGGCACGGCCUAAAUUGACCCUAAUUUUUUUCCAGUCUUACUUGACCUAAGACCCUUUUACACUAAUAUAAUAUGUUAUUUGUAACUUUUCUUUACAUUUAAAGUACUUUCCAUACAUAUGUACGGAUUAUAAGGAUUAUUUAUAACCAAAAAGCUUCACAAAUUUAAAAUUGCUGGAAAAUAUUACAUCUUCAUGUAAGGCUCCCCUUCAUUGAAAAACCUCAUUUUUUAGGAGCAGGCUUAUAUAAAUUUGUCUUUUGAAUAAUUAUGCCAAGUCUGAUAAAUCAAAUGAGUACUCUAUUGCUUUUAGUACAUGAUACGUUAUAUAUUAAGGCAUUUAAAAGUAUUUUUUUGAAAUAUUUUAAUUUUUAAAGCCCCAAAUGUUGAUAGUUGAAAUUUUUCAAUUUUAACGUCAAAAUUUUACACGCAAAGAUGAGUAUAGAACUUAACUUAAUGUCUAUAAUAUACAUCCUAUUGUCAUGCAACUUUGUAAGCAGUGUUAUUAUUCAUUAAGCUUUGGCCAUACCAAGUUUUGUUAAGAUUUAUCAACUCUUUCUACAUUAUUAGGUCCGAGACCACUGAUUUUAUAAAUUUUUAUAGUUAUCAUAUCAAAGUUUGUUGCAAAUCUACAACUUCCUCAGAAGCGUUUCUUUUUCUUGGUGGUGAUAUUACAUUUCUUCCAUCUACCACUUUCCAAUGCAUACAUGAUUUGACUACUUCAUAUUUAUUAGAAGUAAAUUGAGUAUGUACUCUUGAUUAAAGUUGAUAUCAUUACUGAAUAUUAUUAUGUACUCACAAGUCACUGACAUAUGCAUUUUUAACAGGUUUCCUUUAUACAAACACUGAUAGGGGAAUUUUAUUAUUAUGAACGACUGGAAAAAAAACAUACGCAAUGUGUUUCACCAUUAAUAGGUUUAAUUAAACGAUGCGUUUGUAUCUUAACCCAUGCGAGUUAUGUUUGAGAGGUUUUAGAUGUUAGGAUACAUUGUAUCUUAACUCAUGAAAGAUAUGUUUGAGAGGUUUUAGACGUUAGGAUACCAUAAUUUCAUUUCUUCACAAGGAUAUUUACAUUUUGAUUUCAAAGUGAUGUGUUAGGUCUAAAUAAAUGUUACGGCAAAGUUGAAACAUCCUGUUAUUUACAAGGUACAUAAUACUGUACAGGAAUAUUUAAAACAGGAAAACUAUAUGCUUGACAUAACCCGUAGUUUAUUGAUUGUGUCUUAAAUGUUAUUAUAAAGACUUCAGAGCUUCAUACCAACAAUCAAAUAUCCAAAUUUAUGUACAUCUACCCGCUAACUUGCGUUAAAAUCUUAAUGGAAAAAGAGAUUUGUUUCUUGUUUUGUUUAAAACCCUAACUUUGUAUUUUUAUAGUUAUCAUACCAAAAUGUGUAGCAAAUCUACAAAUUCCCGUGUAGCGUUUCUUUUUCUUGGUGAUUAUAUUACAUUUGCUCUAUUUAUCGCUUUCCAAUAAAUAAAUGAUUUGACUACUUCACAUUUCUUAGAAGUAAAGAGUAUGCACUCUUAAAGAAAGUUUAUAUCAUAACUGAAUAUCAUUAUGUACUGCAAACACGGAUAGAGGAAUAUAAUUAGUACGAACGAUUAAUAGGUUGACUGAUACAAUAAGUCUGUAUCUUAACUCAUGAGAUAUAUGUUUGAGAUAUGCUAUAUUAGACCUUAAGAGACAUCGUAUAUUACCUCAUGAGAGAUAUGUUUUAGAGGUAUCAGACCUUAAAAUACACUGUAUCUUAACUCAUGAAAGAUAUGUUUGAGAGGUAUCAGACCUAAAAUACACUGUAUCUUAACUCAUGAAAGAUAUGUUUGAGAGGUAUCAGACCUUAAAAUACACUGUAUCUUAACUCAUGAAAGAUAUGUUUGAGAUGUUUUAUACCUUAACAACACUGUAUCAUAACUAAUGUGAGAUGUGUUUGAGAUGUAUUAAACCUUAAGAUACACUGUAUCUUAAUGCAUGGCAGAUAUGUUUGAGAGAUAUCAUACCUUAAAAUACACUGUAGCUUAACUCAUGAAAGAUAUGUUUGAGACAUAUAAGACCUUAAAAUACACUAUAUUUUAACUCAUGAAAGAUACGUUUGAGAGGUUUUAGACCUUAAUAUACACUAUAUUUUAAACUGAUGAAAGAUAUGUUUGAGAGGAAUUAGACCUUACGACACACUGUAUCUGAACUGAUGAGAGAUGUGUUUGAGAGGUAUUAUGCCUUUUAAGAAACACAGAAUCUUAAUUCAAGAGAGAUUUGUUUGAGCAGUAUAAGACCGUAAUAUACCCUGUAUCUUCAAAAUGUUCAACUCAUGAAAGAUAUGUUUGAGAGAAUUUUAACCUUACGAUACACUGUAUCUGAACUGAUGAGAGAUUUGUUUGAGAGGUAUUAUGCCUUUUAAAAAACACUGUAUCUUAACUCACGAGGGCUAUGCUUGACCGGUAUUACACCGUAAUAUACACUGUAUCUUAACUCAUGAAAGGUAUGUUUGAGAUGUAUUAGAUCUAAAGAUACACUGUAUCUAAACUCAAUUGAGAGAUAUGUUUGACGGCAAUUAGACCUUAAAAUGCACUGUAUCUUAACUGAUAAGAGAUGUAUCUUAGUGUUACAAGACCUUAAGAUAAACUGUAUCUUAACUCAUGAGACAUGUUUGAGAGAAAUUUGACCUUAAGGUAUACUGUAUCUACUCAUGAAAGAUGUGUUUGAGAGAUAUUAGAACUUAAGAUACACUGUAUCUCGACUUAAAAAAGUUAUGUUUGAGAGAUACUCUUUGAGGUAUUUUAACCCAGGACAGAUAUGUUUGAGAGGUAUUAGACCUUCAGAUACACUGAAUUAUAAUUCAUAAGAGAUAUGCUUGAGGAAUAUUAAACCUUAAGAUACACUGUAUCUUAACUGAUGAGGGGUAUGCUUGAGAGGUAUAAGACCUUUAGCUACACUGGAUCUUAACUCAUGAUAUAUAUAUAUUUGAGAGAAAUUAAAAUUGAGAGACGAUAAAAAACGUUGUGAAAUCUUUUAUUUUACAAAUUAUGUAUAAUUCCUUACCUUGACAUUUUAAUUGUAUCUGCAAAAAUAUGGCUCGGUUAUGGGUGUUAACUUUGAUUUGUAAGUGUUGACUAAGACAAAUCAUCUAACACAAAACAUGUAUGUGUAAUUAUAUCCGCUGUCUAUUUAACAUUUAACAGUUACAAAACAAGGCAUCUUUUUUAAAGCACUUUAAAGAAUUGUGAUUAUGAUAAUUAGAACAUAUUCUGGGUUAUCUAUGAUAAAGAUAGCUUCGUUCUCAUCCCAUAUGGAGUUUACUUAUCCCAUAUGUAUCUCAUUAUGUCACUAGCACACUGUGCAACUAAUUUAUCUUACCGACUUUCUUAACAUGUGGCGUUUAGACUAGUUGCCUAUCAAAAUUAUUAAGUCUUCAAGAUGAAAUAUAAAAAAAACCUACUUUCAUUGGUCUAUACCACAAUAAAUGCCAACAUUAACAUGUGUUAGCUUUUAGUGCGUUUUCUGCAUUUUUUUUUCAAUUGGUCAUCAUCGAUGUUUUUAUUUUUUGUCCGGGCGAAACGUUUUAAAAUUUCCUCAACUCCGUGUGGUUUGUAUAAAGAGAAGUAACACUAAAAAUACCCGUGUAGUGAAAUAAACCAGGCCUACCUACCCCUUGCUAAAUAUACUGACAUUCCUUGAAAUCAUAGGAGGCAAGAUAAUCCAAAACAUUUAACCAACUCAUUGUCAAUUUUAAAGGGGAUGACUUAAACUUUACCCGAAUUAAUCCUUGGUGUAAUAGCUUCCUGUAAGGUUAAACUUUUCCAUUCGUAAAUUCUUAUAAGAAAUGCAAGCUCUGGAAGAGACAUAUAUUCUACAGUUAUGCUAAUCACAUAAUUAUACAUUAGUAUUCCUAACCUUAGUUAAACAAUUAAACUAUCGAUACCACUUGUUUAUGAUACCUUUAACAUUGUCAAUGUAACCUUCAGUGGUAUUGUAUAUACUGAAUAAUUUUCUUUUCUUUGCAUAAAUUGUAGACGUAUUCAUGAUUAACGAAUGCGCAAGUAGUCCGUGUCUUAAUGGUGGAUAUUGUCUGAACGUUGUAAAUCAUUUUAUAUGUUAUUGUCUACCUGAUUACACUGGUGAAAGAUGUCAGACGAGUAAGCUUGUUAUUCAUUGUUUAAAGUCUGUAGCAAAACUGCCUAAGUGUAGUGUUUUUUUUUUUUUUUUUCUACAACUGUUGUUUUCAUAGAAAGAGGGAAAUACAUGACAUAAUAUAUUUCAUUGGUAUAUUUGCAGUUUAAUAAAAAGGAGUAAAAAAAAACAAUAAAUUAACUGCAAAUUGCAAACUUUAACCAACAGCUUAAAUUAAAUAUCGACAAAUUAGUCCUGGUGCCAAAUUUUAAAAUCCUGCCAUAGUGAAAUUCUCUCAUAACGAUUAUAAUUUUACUUUAUAUCUCCUUUUUGUUUUGCCAAAAUCAAAAAAGUAAAACAAACACUGUGAAAGGUUAGAUUGAGCAGACACCGAUUUAUUUAAAUGUGUCUAAAACAUUAAAACAUUACACAGGCCGCCUGAUGAAGCAUAACCAAAUCCGUAUAUGUAAAUCAAUUCUCAAAGUUCAAUAAAUCACGUAUGGUCUCGUUUGUAUAUCCAGUUCAAAGUUUAGUUCAUAAGAUAACUAGCAAUCUUGUUUAUCCACCUUUCUGACCCUUUUUUAUACAUUUAACAUUUAUUUUUUAACUACAAUUUUAAAGAUUUAAAUUGAAAGGCCAUACUAAAAUAGUGAACAAAUUCAAAUGCGUUUAUCUUCUAAUCAUUUACUACCAUUUGUCAUUAAAAACAAACUCGACCAGAACAUUAUUUUUUAUUUUAUCUAAUGUUAUUUGUAAAAUUGAACAAUUUUAUUUUAGAAACUACAGAUAAUCAAAGAAUAACAAAUGUAAUCAAACAUACUUAUGAUCACUAAGAUCGAAUAUGUUUAAUAAAAUCAUCGGGUGUGCUUAACAAUGUUGACAAACACGCAGAAAAAUAAAGAAACAUCAGAGCAAAUGUGUUAUAGAUGAAAUUGAGCAAUCAAUGAAAAUAUCCUACGGAAAAAGUAACACUUUUUUUAAUGCGUCUGAGGCGCUAUUCUGGAUUUACGCUCGUUAUACACUAACAAACAUGAGCCAAUGGUUAUUGGUACCUGAACAUAGGAACUGUGCUAUCUGGUCAAAUGUAAAGCAUAUGACAAGCAUGAUAAUGUUCUACAAUUGGAACUUAUUAAUGCUGUGCGUCAUUCCCCUCUUAUAUUAAAUGCGUUUCCCACAGUUUUGGUUUGUGAAUCGGAUUUGUUUUUUUUUCUAUCGAUUUAUGAGUUUUAAACAUCAGUAUACUUAUGUUGCCUUUAUUUAAUGCCUUACUAACAGUUUUCACGUUAUUACUUUUACAGGUUCAGCAGCAGUAGGAUGAAAAAUUAAUACCCACAGAAAGCAUUCAAAAUAUAUAUAUAAUAUUAAAAAGAUAUGUUAUAAUUUUGUAUUUUUUUAUGACACAUAUAUAUUUCACAGACAUUGAUUUU
This 7108-nucleotide long non-coding RNA is filed under the name Mytilus galloprovincialis (Mediterranean mussel). Lineage: Eukaryota; Metazoa; Mollusca; Bivalvia; Mytilida; Mytilidae. The record is from RNAcentral.